AAGCGUGCGCAGGCGGUUCGGAAAGAAAGAUGUGAAAUCCCAGAGCUUAACUUUGGAACUGCAUUUUUAACUACCGAGCUAGAGUGUGUCAGAGGGAGGAAUCUGGCGUGUAGCAGUGAAAUGCGUAGAUAUGCGGAGGAACACCGAUGGCGAAGGCAGCCUCCUGGGAUAACACUGACGCUCAUGCACGAAAGCGUGGGGAGCAAACAGAUUAGAUACCCUGGUAGUCCACGCCCUAAACGAUGUCAACUAGCUGUUGGGGGCCUCGGGCCUCGGUAGCGCAGCUAACGUUAUGAAGUUGACCGCCUGGGGAGUACGGUCGCAAGAUUAAAACUCAAAGGAAUUGACGGGGACCCGCACAAGCGGUGGAUGAUGUGGAUUAAUUCGAUGCAACGCGAAAAACCUUACCUACCCUUGACAUGUCUGGAAUCCCGAAGAGAUUUGGAGUGCUCGCAAGAGAACCGGAACACAGGUGCUGCAUGGCUGUCGUCAGCUCGUGUCGAGAUGUUGGGUUAAGUCCCGCAACGAGCGCAACCCUUGUCAUUAGUUGCUACGAAAGGGCACUCUAAUGAGACUGCCGGCACAAACCGGAGGAAGGUGGGGAUGAACAAGUCCUCAUGGCCCUUAUGGGAGGCCACACGUCAUACAAUGGUCGGGACAGAGGGGUCGCCAACCCGCGAGGGGGAGCCAAUCCCAGAAACCCGAUCGUAGUCCGACGCAGCCUGCAACUCGACUGCGUGAAGUCGGAAUCGCUAGUAAUCGCGGAUCAGCAUGUCGGUGAAUACGUUCCCGGGUCUUGUACACACCGCCUGUCACACCAUGGGAGUGGGUUUUACCAGAAGUAGUUAGCCUAACCGUAAGGAGGGCGAUUACCACGGUAGGAUUCAUGACUGGGGUGAAGUCGUAACAAGGUAG
This 915-nucleotide unclassified non-coding RNA is filed under the name uncultured Bordetella sp. Its description in RNAcentral is "partial 16S-23S ribosomal RNA intergenic spacer". It matches the Rfam family "Bacterial small subunit ribosomal RNA", at positions 563 to 1499 of the family's 1533-position model. Lineage: Bacteria; Pseudomonadati; Pseudomonadota; Betaproteobacteria; Burkholderiales; Alcaligenaceae. The record is from RNAcentral.